AUUGAACGCUGGCGGCAUGCUUUACACAUGCAAGUCGAACGGUAACAGGGAGCUUGCUCCGCUGACGAGUGGCGAACGGGUGAGUAAUGCAUCGGAACGUACCCAGUCGUGGGGGAUAACGUAGCGAAAGUUACGCUAAUACCGCAUACGUCCUGAGGGAGAAAGCGGGGGACCGUAAGGCCUCGCGCGAUUGGAGCGGCCGAUGUCGGAUUAGCUAGUUGGUGGGGUAAAGGCCUACCAAGGCGACCGAUCCGUAGCGGGUCUGAGAGGACGACCAGCCACACUGGAACUGAGACACGGUCCAGACUCCUACGGGAGGCAGCAGUGGGGAAUUUUGGACAAUGGGCGCAAGCCUGAUCCAGCCAUUCCGCGUGCAGGAUGAAGGCCUUCGGGUUGUAAACUGCUUUUGUACGGAACGAAACGGUCUGCCCUAAUACGGCAGGCUAAUGACGGUACCGUAAGAAUAAGCACCGGCUAACUACGUG
This 485-nucleotide ribosomal RNA is filed under the name uncultured bacterium. RNAcentral's name for it is "bacterial SSU rRNA". It matches the Rfam family "Bacterial small subunit ribosomal RNA", at positions 30 to 507 of the family's 1533-position model. The record is from RNAcentral.